UGGGUUUGAAUCCCAGCUCUGCCACUUAUUAGCUGUGUGAUCUUGGGCAA
This 50-nucleotide microRNA precursor is filed under the name Vombatus ursinus (common wombat). RNAcentral describes it as "miRNA (ENSVURG00010004518.1)". Lineage: Eukaryota; Metazoa; Chordata; Mammalia; Diprotodontia; Vombatidae. The record is from RNAcentral.